UGAGAAAAUAUAACAUAUCUGUUUGGGGGAGUGAGAGACUGAUCCCUGCUGUGAGGAAACUUAGAAAGGCAAUAUAUCUGGCACUCCCUGAUUAAGGAAGUGGUGGAGGAGAGCAUUCCCUGCAGGACACAGGAAAGGAAGAGGCCGUCCACAGCCAGGCAACACAGGCAUGAAUACUCCAGGUAUGACCCUUGAACACAAUCAGUUUGGGAGUAGGAAAGGGUCAUGUCAUGCCAAGGUGACUGUGGUGCUGGCUUACUGUGAUGAUGAUGAUUAAGAUGGUGAUGGAGAUGAUGAUGAUGAUAAUGAUGGAAAUGGUAAUGAUGGAGAUGAUGAUGGUGAUGAUAUGAUGAUGGAGGUGAUGAUGAUGAUGGAAACGAUAGUGAUGAUGACUGCGGUGCUGUGCCAUAG
Molecule: long non-coding RNA, 411 nt
Filed under: Salmo salar (Atlantic salmon)
Lineage: Eukaryota; Metazoa; Chordata; Actinopteri; Salmoniformes; Salmonidae
Description: lncRNA (ENSSSAG00000094193.1)
Source: RNAcentral